UACGUAGGGGGCAAGCGUUGUCCGGAAUCAUUGGGCGUAAAGCGCGCGUAGGCGGCCCGAUCAGUCCGCUGUAAAAGUCCAGGGCUCAACCCUGGAAAGCCGGUGGAUACUGUCGAGCUAGAGUCCGGAAGAGGCGAGUGGAAUUCCUGGUGUAGCGGUGGAAUGCGCAGAUAUCAGGAGGAACACCGAUAGCGAAGGCAGCUCGCUGGGACGGUACUGACGCUGAGGUGCGAAAGCGUGGGGAGCGAACAGG
This 253-nucleotide ribosomal RNA is filed under the name uncultured bacterium. RNAcentral describes it as "partial 16S ribosomal RNA". It matches the Rfam family "Bacterial small subunit ribosomal RNA", at positions 524 to 776 of the family's 1533-position model. The record is from RNAcentral.